UACGGGGGGGGCAAGCGUUGUUCGGAAUUACUGGGCGUAAAGGGCACGUAGGCGGUCCCUCAAGUCGGGUGUGAAAGCCCUCGGCUUAACCGAGGAAGUGCAUUCGAAACUAAGGGACUUGAAUACUGGAGAGGAUGGCGGAAUUCCCGGUGUAGAGGUGAAAUUCGUAGAUAUCGGGAGGAACACCAGCGGCGAAGGCGGCCAUCUGGACAGAUAUUGACGCUGAGGUGCGAAAGCGUGGGGAGCAAACAGG
RNAcentral lists this ribosomal RNA (253 nucleotides) under uncultured bacterium. Its description in RNAcentral is "partial 16S ribosomal RNA". It matches the Rfam family "Bacterial small subunit ribosomal RNA", at positions 524 to 776 of the family's 1533-position model. The record is from RNAcentral.